Molecule: ribosomal RNA, 440 nt
Filed under: uncultured bacterium
Lineage: Bacteria
Description: partial 16S ribosomal RNA
Rfam family: Bacterial small subunit ribosomal RNA
Source: RNAcentral
CCUACGGGAGGCAGCAGUGGGGAAUCUUGCACAAUGGGGGAAACCCUGAUGCAGCGACGCCGCGUGAGUGAAGAAGUAAUUCGUUAUGUAAAGCUCUAUCAGCAGGGAAGAAAAUGACGGUACCUGAGUAAGAAGCCCCGGCUAACUACGUGCCAGCAGCAGCGGUAAUACGUAGGGGGCAAGCGUUCUCCGGAUUUACUGGGUGUAAAGGGAGCGUAGACGGGUGUGCAAGUCUGGAGGGAAAGGCGGGGGCUCAACCCCCGGAGUGCUCUGGAAACUGUACGGCUGGAGUGCAGGAGAGGACAGUGGAAUUCCAAGUGUAGCGGUGGAAUGCGUAGAUAUAAGGAGGAACACCAGUGGCGAAGGCGGCUGUCUGGACUGUAACUGACGUUGAGGCUCGAAAGCAUGGGGAGCGAACAGGAUUAGAUACCCGGGUAGUC